RNAcentral lists this ribosomal RNA (514 nucleotides) under uncultured bacterium. RNAcentral's name for it is "partial 16S ribosomal RNA". The record is from RNAcentral.
GGAGUUAGCCGGUGCUUCUUCUGUGAGUGAUGUCCUUCCUGCCGGCUAUUAACCCGCAGGCCUUCUUCCUCACUGAAAGUGCUUUACAACCCGAAGGCCUUCUUCACACACGCGGCAUGGCUGGAUCAGGGUUGCCCCCAUUGUCCAAUAUUCCCCACUGCUGCCUCCCGUAGGAGUCUGGGCCGUGUCUCAGUCCCAGUGUGGCUGAUCAUCCUCUCAGACCAGCUACGGAUCGUCGCCUUGGUGAGCCGUUACCUCACCAACCAGCUAAUCCGACAUAGGCUCAUCCGAUAGCGCGAGGCCCGAAGGUCCCCCGCUUUCCCCCGUAGGGCGUAUGCGGUAUUAGCCUGGGUUUCCCCAGGUUAUCCCCCACUACCGGGCAGAUUCCUAUGCAUUACUCACCCGUCCGCCGCUCGCCACCAGGGAGCAAGCUCCCCGUGCUGCCGCUCGACUUGCAUGUGUUAGGUCGUCGCCGCCGACGCGUCACUCUGAGCCGACGAGUACAACUACUCGA